GAUGAAGAACGCAGCGAAAUGCGAUACGUAAUGUGAAUUGCAGAAUUCAGUGAAUCAUCGAGUCUUUGAACGCACAUUGCGCCCUCUGGUAUUCCGGAGGGCAUGCCUGUCCGAGCGUCAUUGCUGCCCUCAAGCACGGCUUGUGUGUUGGGCUCCGUCCCCCGAUCCCGGGGGACGGGCCCGAAAGGCAGCGGCGGCACCGCGUCCGGUCCUCGAGCGUAUGGGGCUUUGUCACCCGCUCUGUAGGCCCGGCCGGCGCUUGCCGAUCAACCAAAUUUUUAUCCAGGUUGACCUCGGAUCAGGUAGGGAUACCCGCUGAACUUAAGCAUAUCAAUAAGGGAGGA
Molecule: unclassified non-coding RNA, 344 nt
Filed under: soil metagenome
Description: partial contains 5.8S ribosomal RNA, internal transcribed spacer 2, and large subunit ribosomal RNA
Rfam family: 5.8S ribosomal RNA (bases 1-120)
Source: RNAcentral